RNAcentral lists this ribosomal RNA (484 nucleotides) under uncultured bacterium. Its description in RNAcentral is "partial 16S ribosomal RNA". It matches the Rfam family "Bacterial small subunit ribosomal RNA", at positions 30 to 507 of the family's 1533-position model. The record is from RNAcentral.
AUUGAACGCUGGCGGCAGGCCUAACACAUGCAAGUCGAGCGGAUGAAGGGAGCUUGCUCCUGGAUUCAGCGGCGGACGGGUGAGUAAUGCCUAGGAAUCUGCCUGGUAGUGGGGGAUAACGUCCGGAAACGGGCGCUAAUACCGCAUACGUCCUGAGGGAGAAAGUGGGGGAUCUUCGGACCUCACGCUAUCAGAUGAGCCUAGGUCGGAUUAGCUAGUUGGUGGGGUAAAGGCCUACCAAGGCGACGAUCCGUAACUGGUCUGAGAGGAUGAUCAGUCACACGGGAACUGAGACACGGUCCAGACUCCUACGGGAGGCAGCAGUGGGGAAUAUUGGACAAUGGGCGAGAGCCUGAUCCAGCCAUGCCGCGUGUGUGAAGAAGGUCUUCGGAUUGUAAAGCACUUUAAGUUGGGAGGAAGGGCAGUAAGUUAAUACCUUGCUGUUUUGACGUUACCAACAGAAUAAGCACCGGCUAACUUCGUG